UUUUUUUAAUAAUAAUAAUAUUUAACAAAACAAACAAAAAACAAAAAAAUAAACAAACAAAAGAAACAGAAAUAAAACAAAAGUCAAGGGGUUGGUUCGGCGCCGAACUGGCCCGACCAACUACCCGAUCAGCCUCCCGACAAGCCACCAAUCACGGACGGUAGGUAUGAUUUUUCAGUUGAAAAAUGAGAUUCAAAUCUCAGAAAAUCUGAGAUUUGAAUCUCAACAAGCUCUAUAAAUAGAGCUUGCAAACCAGAAAAAAAAAAAGAAAGAAGAAGGCAGCUUCUGUAAAAAAAAAAUUCUGCAAAAACAUAAAAAAAAAAAAACAACAGUCCCCUGGAACGGGGAACCCAGCGCCAGAAAGUCACCUGAAAAAAAAAGAGAGAGAUCAGCAGAUUCAAAAAAAAAAAAAAAAAAAAAAAGAGACCGAAACUUUGAGCCCCGAUCUACGUCGAUCAGGGUUGUUUUCGGUAAAAAGGACACCGGAUCUGGAAAGAUCGCGUCGAAGAGAACUUCCAG
Molecule: long non-coding RNA, 519 nt
Filed under: Durio zibethinus
Lineage: Eukaryota; Viridiplantae; Streptophyta; Magnoliopsida; Malvales; Malvaceae
Description: long non-coding RNA (DZIB_LNC002102)
Source: RNAcentral